Molecule: ribosomal RNA, 1462 nt
Filed under: uncultured marine bacterium
Lineage: Bacteria
Description: bacterial SSU rRNA
Rfam family: Bacterial small subunit ribosomal RNA
Source: RNAcentral
GAGUUUGAUCAUGGCUCAGGACGAACGCUGGCGGCAGGCCUAACACAUGCAAGUCGAACGAGAAGCGAUCCUUCGGAAUCGUGGAAAGUGGCGAACGGGUGAGUAACGCGUGGGAACCUGCCCUUUGGUGGGGGACAACCGCUGGAAACUUGGACUAAUACCGCAUAAGCCCUUUUGGGGAAAGCUUUAUAACCAAAGGAUGGGCCCGCGUAGGAUUAGCUCAUUGGUAGGGUAACGGCCUACCAAGGGGACGAUCUGUAGCUGGUCUGAGAGGACGAUCAGCCAUACUGGGACUGAGACACGGCCCAGACUCAUACGGGAGGAUGCAGCAGGGAAUAAUGUGCAAUGAGCGAAAGCUUGACACAGCGACACCGCGUGUGGGACGACGGUUCCAGGAUUGUAAACCACUUUCAGGAGGGAAGAAAAUGACGGUACCUCCACAAGAAGACCCGCCCAAUUAUUUGCCAGCAGCCGCGGUAAUACAUAGGGGUCAAGCGUUGUCCGUAUUUAUUGGGCGUAAAGAGGUGGUAGGCGGUUCAACAAGUCGGUCGUAAAAGUAUAGGGCUCAACCCUAAAAUGUCGAUCGAUACUGUUGUGACUAGGAUACGGUAGAGGUGAAAGGAAUUCCGAGUGUAGCGGUGAAAUGCGUAGAUAUUUGGAGGAACACCAAUUGGGAAGGCAGUUCACUGGACCGUGAUUGACGCUGAGGAGCGAAAGCUAGGGGAGCAAACAGGAUUAGAUACCCUGGUAGUCCUAGCUGUAAACGAUGGAUACUAGAUGUAGGAAGCAGAUUGACGGGUUCAGUAUCGUAGCUAACGCAUUAAGUAUUCCGCCUGGGGAGUACGGUCGCAAGACUAAAACUCAAAGGAAUUGACGGGACCCCGCACAAGCGGCGGAGCAUGCGGUUUAAUUCGAUGAUACCCGUAGAACCUUACCAGCACUUGACAUACAGGGAAAACCCGGAGAAAUCCAAUGUGCGUUAGCGCCCUAUACAGCAGGUGCAUCACGGUCGUCAUCUGGUGUCGUGAGAAGAUGGGUUAAGUCCUGCAACGAGGGCAACCCCCCUCAUCUGUUGCCAGCAAGUAAUAUUGGGGAGUCAUAGGAGGAGGCCGGCGAUCAACCGGAGGAAGGAGGGGGGGACGUCAAGUCAUCAUGCCCGUCAUGUCCAGGGGGGCAACCCUGGUACAACAGCAAGUACAACGAGUGGCAAUGACAGGAGGAGGAGCAACUAUACCAAAGAUUCUUUCAGUUGUGAUAGGAGUAGUCAACUAGUCUCCUCCAAGAAGUAGUAGUCAGUAACCGCAAAUCAUCAAAGUGGCGGGGAAAACGUUUUCGGGGUCUGUACACACCCCCCCUCAAGUCUCGGAAAUCGGCAAUACGCCAAACCAGUGGUGUAACCCCUUGGGGAAGAAGAUCUCCAACGUAGGGUUCGUAACUGGGAUUAAGUCGUAACAAGGUAACC